GUGUCAGCCGCCGCGGUAAGACGUAGGAUGCAAACGUUAUCCGGAAUUACUGGGCGUAAAGAGUUCGUAGGCGAACUGUUAAGUAGAAUGUUAAAGACUUGAGCUCAACUCAAGAAAGUAUUCUAAACUGGCAGAAUAGAGUAUGGUAGGGCAAGUGGAAUUCUGUGUGUAGGGGUGAAAUCCGUAGAUAUACAGAGGAACACCAAAAGCGAAGGCAGCUUGCUGGGCCAUUACUGACGCUCAAGAACGAAAGCGUGGGGAGCAAACAGGAUUAGAUACCCUGGUAGUCCACGCCCUAAACGAUGAUCACUCGAUGUUGGGAACUCGACUUUCUCAGUGUCUAAGCUAACGCGAUAAGUGAUCCGCCUGGGUAGUACGAUCGCAAGAUUGAAACUCAAAUGAAUUGCGG
This 409-nucleotide ribosomal RNA is filed under the name uncultured bacterium. RNAcentral describes it as "bacterial SSU rRNA". It matches the Rfam family "Bacterial small subunit ribosomal RNA", at positions 505 to 915 of the family's 1533-position model. The record is from RNAcentral.